AACGCACCUUGCGCCCUUUGGUAUUCCGAAGGGCAUGCCUGUUUGAGUGUCAUUAAAUUAUCAACCUUGCUCGCUUUUACUAGCUUGAGUUUGGCUUGGAUGUGAGGGCUUUGCUGGCUUCCUUCAGUGGAUGGUCUGCUCCCUUUAAAUGCAUUAGUGGGAUCUCUUGUGGACCGUCACUUGGUGUGAUAAUUAUCUAUGCCUUGAGACUUUGAAGCAAACUAAUGGGAACCUGCUCAUAACCGUCUUCGGACAAUCUCUGACAUUUUGACCUCAAAUCAGGUAGGACUACCCGCUGAACUUAA
This 305-nucleotide unclassified non-coding RNA is filed under the name uncultured Mycenaceae. RNAcentral's name for it is "sequence contains ITS2". The stretch from base 1 to 52 matches the Rfam family "5.8S ribosomal RNA", at positions 103 to 154 of the family's 154-position model. The record is from RNAcentral. Lineage: Eukaryota; Fungi; Basidiomycota; Agaricomycetes; Agaricales; Mycenaceae.